RNAcentral lists this ribosomal RNA (497 nucleotides) under uncultured bacterium. RNAcentral's name for it is "partial 16S ribosomal RNA". It matches the Rfam family "Bacterial small subunit ribosomal RNA", at positions 28 to 507 of the family's 1533-position model. The record is from RNAcentral.
GAUGAACGCUGGCGGCGUGCCUAAUACAUGCAAGUCGAGCGAACAGACGAGGAGCUUGCUCCUCUGACGUUAGCGGCGGACGGGUGAGUAACACGUGGAUAACCUACCUAUAAGACUAGGAUAACUUCGGGAAACCGGAGCUAAUACCGGAUAAUAUAUUGAACCGCAUGGUUCAAUAGUGAAAGACGGUUUUGCUGUCACUUAUAGAUGGAUCCGCGUCGCAUUAGCUAGUUGGUAAGGUAACGGCUUACCAAGGCAACGAUGCGUAGCCGACCUGAGAGGGUGAUCGGCCACACUGGAACUGAGACACGGUCCAGACUCCUACGGGAGGCAGCAGUAGGGAAUCUUCCGCAAUGGGCGAAAGCCUGACGGAGCAACGCCGCGUGAGUGAUGAAGGUCUUCGGAUCGUAAAACUCUGUUAUUAGGGAAGAACAAAUGUGUAAGUAACUAUGCACGUCUUGACGGUACCUAAUCAGAAAGCCACGGCUAACUACGUG